GGAGGGCAUUGCCCGUCGGACGGGACUUGGUCUUAAAAACCAUUGAGCGUGUUAGGUGCUGCGGUUCGACUCCGCUGCCCUCCG
This 84-nucleotide transfer RNA is filed under the name bacterium. RNAcentral describes it as "tRNA-Leu". The record is from RNAcentral.